AAAUGCAUAUUCAUGUAAACUUGGGAAUUUGGUUCUGUGCACGUGAUGCGGCAAUUAUCAAAUAAUGAAAUUUAAUGAGAUUGUCUGAAAUGCUUUGUCAUGCCUUGCAACAACAGUCUCAAGAUGUAGUUAGUGUUAGGAAUCUUGAUCCAUACAGAGAAACCUCCAUAUUUAGGAAAAACAAAGAUCACUGUCUUUGAACAAUCAAAUAGUGAUCAACUACUAUCCAAGGCCAUUCAAACAAAGCAUAGUUGUAAUCUUAUUCAAAUUCUCGUGAAUAUCCUCCCCAAGAUUGAGAAGUUUAUCUUUAUAUGUCGUUUCAUGAGCUUGUUUUCUUCUCACUUGGUUGCUCAAUUACACAAAUUUUCAUGAUGGUAUGUUGAAUAUUAUAUUCAAUAUUAUAUUCUUCCUCUUUAGAAAUAUAUAAAA
RNAcentral lists this long non-coding RNA (429 nucleotides) under Trifolium pratense (red clover). RNAcentral describes it as "long non-coding RNA (TPRA_LNC005670)". Lineage: Eukaryota; Viridiplantae; Streptophyta; Magnoliopsida; Fabales; Fabaceae. The record is from RNAcentral.